AUUGAACGCUGGCGGCAGGCCUAACACAUGCAAGUCGAGCGGAUGAAGGGAGCUUGCUCCUGGAUUCAGCGGCGGACGGGUGAGUAAUGCCUAGGAAUCUGCCUGGUAGUGGGGGAUAACGUCCGGAAACGGGCGCUAAUACCGCAUACGUCCUGAGGGAGAAAGUGGGGGAUCUUCGGACCUCACGCUGUCAGAUGAGCCUAGGUCGGAUUAGCUAGUUGGUGGGGUAAAGGCCUACCAAGGCGACGAUCCGUAACUGGUCUGAGAGGAUGAUCAGUCACACUGGAACUGAGACACGGUCCAGACUCCUACGGGAGGCAGCAGUGGGGAAUAUUGGACAAUGGGCGAAAGCCUGAUCCAGCCAUGCCGCGUGUGUGAAGAAGGUCUUCGGAUUGUAAAGCACUUUAAGUUGGGAGGAAGGGCAGUAAGUUAAUACCUUGCUGUUUUGACGUCACCAACAGAAUAAGCACCGGCUAACUUCGUG
Molecule: ribosomal RNA, 484 nt
Filed under: uncultured bacterium
Lineage: Bacteria
Description: partial 16S ribosomal RNA
Rfam family: Bacterial small subunit ribosomal RNA
Source: RNAcentral